RNAcentral lists this transfer RNA (73 nucleotides) under Planctomycetota bacterium. RNAcentral's name for it is "tRNA-Ala". It matches the Rfam family "tRNA". From Rfam's summary of the family: Transfer RNA (tRNA) molecules are approximately 80 nucleotides in length. Their secondary structure includes four short double-helical elements and three loops (D, anti-codon, and T loops). Lineage: Bacteria; Pseudomonadati; Planctomycetota. The record is from RNAcentral.
GGGGAAUUAGCUCAUCUGGUAGAGCGUUUCACUGGCAGUGAAAAGGUAAGGGGUUCGACUCCCCUAUUCUCCA